GCUUCAACCGUGUGUGAAACGCAAAUUCAGCAGUUAUGGGAGGUCAUGGAGGUCUUAACAUCCUUCCUCAAAAGCGGUGGAAUGUAUACAACUAUGAGAAUAGAGAAAAAGUCCGGCGAGAUGAGGAAGCCGCCGCUAGAGAAGAGCAAUUAAAGCGUGAGCAGUCAAGAAAGCGCGAUGCUGAGUUUCGCCUUGAGCAGCUACGGACUGCUCGUGGUUUGCUUCCGCUAAAUAAACCAGAAGUGGAGCCAGAGCC
RNAcentral lists this unclassified non-coding RNA (256 nucleotides) under Hevea brasiliensis (rubber tree). Lineage: Eukaryota; Viridiplantae; Streptophyta; Magnoliopsida; Malpighiales; Euphorbiaceae. The record is from RNAcentral.